Molecule: ribosomal RNA, 303 nt
Filed under: uncultured bacterium
Lineage: Bacteria
Description: partial 16S ribosomal RNA
Rfam family: Bacterial small subunit ribosomal RNA
Source: RNAcentral
AGCAGUCGCCGCGGUAAUACGAAGGGGGCUAGCGUUGUUCGGAUUUACUGGGCGUAAAGCGCACGUAGGUGGUGGUUUAAGUCCGUUGUGAAAGCCCUGGGCUCAACCUGGGAAUUGCAGUGGAUACUGGAUCACUAGAGUGUGGUAGAGGAUAGUGGAAUUUCCGGUGUAGCAGUGAAAUGCGUAGAGAUCGGAAGGAACAUCUGUGGCGAAGGCGACUAUCUGGGCCAACACUGACACUGAGGCACGAAAGCGUGGGGAGCAAACAGGAUUAGAUACCCCAGUAGUCCCUGUCUCUUAUAC